Molecule: long non-coding RNA, 632 nt
Filed under: Olea europaea (common olive)
Lineage: Eukaryota; Viridiplantae; Streptophyta; Magnoliopsida; Lamiales; Oleaceae
Description: long non-coding RNA (OEUR_LNC009649)
Source: RNAcentral
UUUCCUCAAUCAGUUCAUAAACAGUCUCACAUAAAAUCAUUUCUUCAAUCUUAUUUAACUCUUAUACACAAUGAUUUGACAAAUAUGUGUGUGGACUCCUAAUUAGUUCCGCCUUUUGGAUUACUUAUCAAACAUAUAUAUUCUUCUUUCAUUGCAGGCAAAGAAGGUCCGGUGACUCGGGACCUCCUAAAUCUCAUUUUGGAGGACAUGAAAUCAGGUCCAACCACGGUCAGAGUUCCCGUUCCUUAUUAACCUGAUCACACAUUUUUCUUCAGCUCAACGACAAAGUUUAAAGAUGGUGGCAGUGGACGACCUGCCAGUACAACAUUGUACUGGGUUUUCUCUGAAAAACUUUGAUUCAGUCAAGGUUGUUGUCCCAUGAAUUCUGUGUAAUAACACACUCGUGAAGAACUAUAUUUGCAUCAUGGAAUGCUAAAACCCCACUCGGCAUGAAAGAUUGUAUAUUUUGUAAGUAUUAGUAUCUCACACGAAGUUUGGUACACGAUAUUAAACACAAUUGGACAUUGUUAAGCCCUUGUUUGAGCUAAAUUAUUGGAAUGAAAAUGUAUUUUUAAAUAGUGUAUUGAUGGGAAAUGCGUGGCUAAGAAAUAAGGAAAAAUUUUAGAUUUACG